AGUGAACGCUGGCGGCAGGCCUAACACAUGCAAGUCGAACGGCAGCACAGUAAGAGCUUGCUCUUACGGGUGGCGAGUGGCGGACGGGUGAUGAAUACAUCGGAAUCUACUUUUUCGUGGGGGAUAACGUAGGGAAACUUACGCUAAUACCGCAUACGACCUACGGGUGAAAGCAGGGGAUCUUCGGACCUUGCGCGAUUGAAUGAGCCGAUGUCGGAUUAGCUAGUUGGCGGGGUAAGGGCCCACCAAGGCGACGAUCCGUAGCUGGUCUGAGAGGAUGAUCAGCCACACUGGAACGGAGACACGGUCCAGACUCCUACGGGAGGCAGCAGUGGGGAAUAUUGGACAAUGGGCGCAAGCCUGAUCCAGCCAUACCGCGUGGGUGAAGAAGGCCUUCGGGUUGUAAAGCCCUUUUGUUGGGAAAGAAAAGCAGCAGGUUAAUACCCCGCUGUUCUGACGGUACCCAAAGAAUAAGCACCGGCUAACUUCGUG
This 492-nucleotide ribosomal RNA is filed under the name uncultured bacterium. RNAcentral's name for it is "partial 16S ribosomal RNA". It matches the Rfam family "Bacterial small subunit ribosomal RNA", at positions 29 to 507 of the family's 1533-position model. The record is from RNAcentral.